UACGUAGGGGGCUAGCGUUGUCCGGAAUCAUUGGGCGUAAAGAGCGUGUAGGCGGCCCGGUAAGUCCGCUGUGAAAGUCGGGGGCUCAACCCUCGAAUGCCGGUGGAUACUGUCGGGCUAGAGUGCGGAAGAGGCGAGUGGAAUUCCUGGUGUAGCGGUGAAAUGCGCAGAUAUCAGGAGGAACACCAAUUGCGAAGGCAGCGCGCUGGGACGUAACUGACGCUGAGACGCGAAAGCGUGGGGAGCGAACAGG
This 253-nucleotide ribosomal RNA is filed under the name uncultured bacterium. RNAcentral's name for it is "partial 16S ribosomal RNA". It matches the Rfam family "Bacterial small subunit ribosomal RNA", at positions 524 to 776 of the family's 1533-position model. The record is from RNAcentral.